AUAUAUGUCUUUCCAGUUCCACAUUGUCCAGUUAAUAGACAACUGUGUCCGUUUUCCACCAAAUGCUCCAUCUUGGCGUAUGCCGCGAAAUUUUCCGGAAUUUGCUAUCUCGGUUUCGAUUUUAUGUAUGCAUUCAGUGCGGAGUUGUAAUUCUGUGACGUCAGCUGAUGGCUAUCGAGCCUCGGGACGAAAUUUGAAGUUUGCGUGAAUUUUAGUUGAUAGCAUUAUCAAUGCGUUGGAAUUAAACUUUAGGAGGAAAUGUAUAGCGAGAUAUAUCAUAUUUGAACCCAAUGCUACACGCAGACCGGUAUCUCCUGACUAUUUACACAGUAAUUCCACCAGUCAUACCUGGGCAUUCUCCGCUGUGGCAGAACUCACUGGUAACUUCUACAUCAUGCUUGAAUGCGCAUGAUGCAACUUCCUGGAUGGUGCUGAGCCUGUUUGUCAACAUGUGGAACCCACGUGCAUUUGGGGGAGUUGUCUCCCUUGUU
Long non-coding RNA from Magallana angulata, 491 nucleotides. RefSeq lists it as uncharacterized. The record is from RefSeq and is a predicted model, not a curated record. The transcript is spliced from 4 exons. Lineage: Eukaryota; Metazoa; Mollusca; Bivalvia; Ostreida; Ostreidae.